CACUGCUGUGGAGGGAUUUUGCCGAUGUAAUUAAGGGAAAGGAUCUUCAAAUAGGGAGACUAGCCUGGAUUAUACAGGUGGGUCCAAUCUAAUCACUUGAGCAUUGAGAAGCCGAGAAUUAUCUUCAGCUGGAUUCAAAGAGAUGUGGUGGAGGAGGACAGCAGGAUGAGGAGGCCAAAGGGGUAGUUAAAGAGAUGUGAAUCAAGAGAAGGGCUGGACCUCCCCCGAUAGCUUUGAAUGUGAAGGGAGGGGGCCUUCAGAAGCUGAGAAAGACUCCAGCUGACAACCCAAAAGGAAUUGGGGCUUCAGUUCUGCAACCACAUGGAACUGAAUUCAACCAACAACUUGAACGACUUUGGAAGCAGUCGUUUUUCCUAGAGUCUACUGCUAAGAACCCAGUGGCAACACCUUGAUUUCAGGCUUGUGAGACCUGGAGCAAUGAAGCCCACUGGACUGGUGAUCUACAGAAGGAACCACGAAAGUGAAGCUGUGAAAACCCUGAAUGCUGAAGAGUGUGGAGAAUCCCAGACGAUGAAGAACCAGAGAAUCUCGAAGCUCUGUCUACCUACACCUCUGACUCAUGUAUGUGCAGAACAGACUCAGAUUAAAAACACAACGUUGAGGUGAGCCUGGAACUGUUGCCCAAGGAACAGGGUUUGAAGUUCAGGUCUAGCUAGACUAAUUAGCUGUUGAAGGAAACAACACUCACUGGAGAAAACUGGCAGAAUUCUGAAUCUUCACCAAUUAACAUUAGUAACGUUGAAGAUAUGAUCGAAAAGUACUCAACAUACCAAGUACCAAGAAUAUGGAAGACGUUCCCCAAAGAAAGUAAAAUCUACUGAGUCCCACUCCAAGAUGAACCGGAUGCUGGAAUUAACAGACUAGGAUUUUAAAGUGAUUAAAAUAUUUAUUCUCUACAAAGUAAAGUAUAACAUGUUUUCAGUGAAUAAAAUUUCAGCAGAGAAAUAGACACAAUAAGAAAAUAAUCAAUGGAAAUUCUAGAACUUAAUAUAAUUUCUAAAAUAAAAAUAUUAACUGGAUGCGCUUAUGGCUGAGUUAAUAUGACAGGAAAGUAAGCGAUGUUGAAGAUCGAUCAAUAGAAAUUAUCCAAGGUGAGGAACAGAGAGAAAAAAGAUUGAAAACGAUGAACACAAUCUUAGUGAGCUGUGAGACAAUAUCAAAGCGUCCAACGUAACAAAAACGGGAAACUAAAAAGAGAAAAGAGAUUGGAGCAAAAAUAUUUUAAGACAUACCAACAAUUUUCCCAAGUUUUAUGAAAGAAAUUUUAUCGAUAGAAGAUGUUUAACAAACACUAAGCUGAAUGAGGACAAAUAUGCCUAUAUUGAGGCAUAUUAGAGUCAAACUGUUGAAAGCCAAAGAUAAAGAGCAAAUCUUGAAAGAAGAGAAAAUGACACGUUACAUACAG
This 1426-nucleotide long non-coding RNA is filed under the name Equus asinus (donkey). RNAcentral describes it as "lncRNA (ENSEASG00005031206.1)". The record is from RNAcentral. Lineage: Eukaryota; Metazoa; Chordata; Mammalia; Perissodactyla; Equidae.